AACUUUCAGCAAUGGAUGUCUCGGCUCCCACAACGAUGAAGAACGCAGCGAAAUGCGAUACGUAAUACGAAUUGCAAAACCUCGUGAAUCAUCAAAAUUUUGAACGCACAUUGCGCUCCCAGAAACUGUCUGGGAGCAUACUUAUCUGAGUGU
Molecule: ribosomal RNA, 153 nt
Filed under: Thalassiothrix antarctica
Lineage: Eukaryota; Bacillariophyta; Fragilariophyceae; Thalassionematales; Thalassionemataceae
Description: 5.8S ribosomal RNA
Rfam family: 5.8S ribosomal RNA
About the family: 5.8S ribosomal RNA (5.8S rRNA) is a component of the large subunit of the eukaryotic ribosome. It is transcribed by RNA polymerase I as part of the 45S precursor that also contains 18S and 28S rRNA.
Source: RNAcentral